AACGCUAGCUACAGGCUUAACACAUGCAAGUCGAGGGGCAGCAUGGUCUUAGCUUGCUAAGGCUGAUGGCGACCGGCGCACGGGUGAGUAACACGUAUCCAACCUGCCGUCUACUCUUGGCCAGCCUUCUGAAAGGAAGAUUAAUCCAGGAUGGGAUCAUGAGUUCACAUGUCCGCAUGAUUAAAGGUAUUUUCCGGUAGACGAUGGGGAUGCGUUCCAUUGGAUAGUAGGCGGGGUAACGGCCCACCUAGUCAACGAUGGAUAGGGGUUCUGAGAGGAAGGUCCCCCACAUUGGAACUGAGACACGGUCCAAACUCCUACGGGAGGCAGCAGUGAGGAAUAUUGGUCAAUGGGCGAUGGCCUGAACCAGCCAAGUAGCGUGAAGGAUGACUGCCCUAUGGGUUGUAAACUUCUUUUAUAAAGGAAUAAAGUCGGGUAUGCAUACCCGUUUGCAUGUACUUUAUGAAUAAGGAUCGGCUAACUCCGUGCCAGCAGCCGCGGUAAUACGGAGGAUCCGAGCGUUAUCCGGAUUUAUUGGGUUUAAAGGGAGCGUAGAUGGAUGUUUAAGUCAGUUGUGAAAGUUUGCGGCUCAACCGUAAAAUUGCAGUUGAUACUGGAUGUCUUGAGUGCAGUUGAGGCAGGCGGAAUUCGUGGUGUAGCGGUGAAAUGCUUAGAUAUCACGAAGAACUCCGAUUG
RNAcentral lists this ribosomal RNA (696 nucleotides) under uncultured bacterium. RNAcentral describes it as "bacterial SSU rRNA". It matches the Rfam family "Bacterial small subunit ribosomal RNA", at positions 32 to 715 of the family's 1533-position model. The record is from RNAcentral.